This is a long non-coding RNA of Vidua chalybeata, 1930 nucleotides long. RefSeq lists it as uncharacterized. The record is from RefSeq and is a predicted model, not a curated record. The transcript is spliced from 2 exons. NCBI's taxonomy places the organism in Eukaryota, Metazoa, Chordata, Aves, Passeriformes, Viduidae.
GCAAUGGUUUGGUAGCAAAGACGUCACAGGGACCGCGAGGGGGCGGCGCAGAGCGGGGGGUGGGGGAGGGGGAGGGGCGGGGGAGGGGCGCCGGCGCGGCGGGAAAUCUAAGUGGGGGGCGUUCGGCCGGUGGGGGAGGGGCGGAGAUGGGGGGGGGGGCGUGGGGGCGGGGUCGUCGAUGAUGACGUCGUUGGGUCAUCGAUGGGGUCGUUGGGUCAUCGACGGCGCCAUUGGGUCAUCAAUGACAUCGUUGGGUCAUCGAUGGGGUCAUUGGGUCACCAACGGGGUCGUUGGGUCAUCGAUGACAUUGUUGGGUCAUCAACGACGCCAUUGGGUCAUCGAUGGGGUUGUUGAUGACAUCAUUGGGUCAUCAUUGACGUCAUUGGGUCAUCGAUGGUGUCCUCGAUGACGUCAUGGGGUCAGUGAUGAUGUCAUGGGGUCAUCGAUGACGUCAUUGGGUAAUUGAUGAGGUCAUCGAUGACGUCAUUGGGUUAUCGAUGGGGUCAUCGAUGAGGUCAUUGGGUCAUCAAUGACAUCAUGGGGUCAUUGAUGAUGUCAUCAGGUGGGUGGGCAGUUGCCCAGUUGGGCGUGGCCUGGGUCACCACUGGUCAGCCCUUACUGGUCACUCAUUGGUGGUCACCACUGGUCAGUUACUGGUCACUCAUUGGUGGUCACUCAUUGGUGGUCAGCACUGGUCAGUUACUGGUCACUCAUUGGUGGUCAGCACUGGUCAGUUACUGGUCACUCAUUGGUGGUCAGCACUGGUCAGUUACUGGUCACUCAUUGGUGGUCAGCACUGGUCAGUUACUGGUCACUCAUUGGUGGUCAGCACUGGUCAGUCAUUACUGGUCAGUUUGGUCAUCACUGGUCAGCCAUUACUGGUCCUUACUGGUCAGUUCGGUCGUUAGCGCUCAUUACUGGUCAGUUUGGUCAUUACCGGUCAGUUUGGUCAUUACCGGUCAGUUUGGCCAUCACUGGUCAGUUGUCACUGGUCAGUCGUCACUGGUCAGUUUGGUCACCACUGGUCAGUUUGGCCAUCACCGGUCAGUUGUCAUUGGUCAGUCGUUACUGGUCAGUCAUUACCGGUCAUCACUGGUCAGUUUGGCCAUUACUGGUCAGUCGUUACUGGUCAGUCGUUACCGGUCAUCACCGGUCAGUUUGGUCAUCACCGGUCAGUCGUCACCGGUCAGUCGUUCCCGGUCAUCUCCGGUCACUCGGCGUCGCCGUUGUCCUGGACUGGUCAGUUGGGUGGGGGAGGGGCCGAUGGACAGGGAGGGGCUUUGGCCGGAGAGUGACCGGCGGGAGAGGGGAGCGGUCAGCCAGUGGUUAAACUGGUUAAACUGGUCAGCGAUGGGUUAACCAGCUGGGUACUGGUUAAACUGGUUGGGGAUGGGUUAACCAGUUGGGUGGGGGAUGGGUUAACCAGCUGGGUACUGGUUAAACUGGUCAGCGAUGGGUUAACCAGUUGGGUGGGGGAUGGGUUAACCAGCUGGGUGGGGGAUGGGUUAACCAGCUGGGUGGGGGAUGGGUUAACCAGCUGGGUACUGGUUAAACUGGUCAGCGAUGGGUUAACCAGUUGGGUACUGGUUAAACUGGUCGGUGAUGGGUUAACCAGCUGGGUACUGGUUAAACUGGUCGGCGAUGGGUUAACCAGUUGGGUGGGGGAUGGGUUAACCAGUUGGGUGGGGGAUGGGUUAACCAGUUGGGUGGGGGAUGGUCGGACGGGUCGGGUGUGAUGGCACCGGCGCGGUGAGAAUGGGCCGAUGGCCCCGCCCCCACCCAGCUGGGAUUGGCCAACCCAACUCAACCCAAAGAAAACCAACUCAACCCAACCCAAGUUAACUCAACCCAACUCAACCAACCCAAAUCAACUCAACCCAACCCAACCCAACCAACUCAACCCAACCCAAAUAAAACCAACCCAACUCAA